AGUGAUCCAUGAGAAAAUUAUUACCUGUAAAAGCAUAGAUGCAGAGCUGAAGAAGAAGAAGAGGACAAAAACAAAGACAAAUUGCACAAAUAGAGGCAAGUCAUAAGAAAGAACCUUGCCAAUCUUACAACAGAAAGUAGCAGUGAUCAAUGACAAAAGUAUUACAUGUAAAAGCGCAGUCCCAGAGCUGACUAAGAAGAAGAGGACAAUCUCUAGAAAAAGACACGAGGCAUAAGAGAGAAGUAGAGAAAAAAAACAAAAAUAGAGGAAAUCAAAGGCGAGUGAAAAGUAAAUCACAGUAGAAGAAAAAACGAGGAACGUAUUACCUGAACAAACAACGAAACAUAGAGAAAGAAGGUGACAUGAGAAGGAAAGAGGGAAAUUCAAAGAAGCGACUUGGAAUACCUAAAUGUCCGAUAUGCAGAUGAAACCUCCAAAAAAGAUGUCACGUAUGUCACAAGAAGCGUCAGAAAUCUAUGGUUACAAGUUUGACAUUUUUCAUUGCAAUCAUGCAACAACGCCACCUUAGAUAAUACACUGAAAUUUCAAUGUUAUAAGAGGAGUUUAAGACAAAAUAACAACUUACAUGGAGGGAAAUAAAUCAAUCAGAUUAUCAUACAGAAAUCGAGAUAAUUAACAAAAAAAAUGUAAAGUAGAUGAUGAAGAUCGAAGAAAGUACCUAUUGAGACAUAGACUGAUGAGUGAUAAUGUAAUCAUGGUGAAUAAAAUACAAUCCAUGCGUAGGGCCGGUCCAACACAAUUUUAGGCCCAAGGCAAAAUAAAAAAAUGGGGCCUUUCAUUAUAUAUAUAUAUAUAUAUAAUCUUUUUUUCUAUAAAAAAGGUGGCAUCUCUGGAGAAUUUUAUUAAUUAGAAAAGAAUAAUACAAUUAAAAGGGACUCCCCAACUAUUGAAAGGAAAAAUCUUUGAACGUACCCGAAAGCCAAAUAAACUAACAACUAGUAAUACAAAACAACAAAAUAAAAAAGCAUAUUAAUGGAACUCCAAUACAUAUACAUAGCAAACAAAAAACUAAAGAAUGUUAAGUUUUCAAGCUUUUGUAGAUACAAAGUUAUCAGCUAUAGCAUCAUGUUUAAUAUUAUCUAACAAAUAUUUUUCAAUGCAUAUAUAUACCUAUUGUUGGCUGCAUGUGAUGUUGUAAGUAACCUCUAAGAAAU
Molecule: long non-coding RNA, 1175 nt
Filed under: Lactuca sativa (garden lettuce)
Lineage: Eukaryota; Viridiplantae; Streptophyta; Magnoliopsida; Asterales; Asteraceae
Description: long non-coding RNA (LSAT_LNC010023)
Source: RNAcentral